AGGGAGCGGAUCACUCCCGCUGAUGUCCUCAACCAUCCUUUCAUUACCAAGAGCUACAUACACAGCACCUCCCGCCUCAGCUCCUGUCCUCAGCCUGCUGCAGCUCUGGACGCCACCAGCAUCCACAUGGACAACACGGAGCUCCCUCCCAACACCUCUGAUGAAGAAGAAGAAGAAGAAGAAGAAGAAGAAGAAGAAGAAGAAGAAGAAG
This is a long non-coding RNA of Cottoperca gobio, 211 nucleotides long. RefSeq lists it as uncharacterized. Lineage: Eukaryota; Metazoa; Chordata; Actinopteri; Perciformes; Bovichtidae. The transcript has 3 exons. The record is from RefSeq and is a predicted model, not a curated record.